Molecule: small nuclear RNA, 213 nt
Gene: U4
Rfam family: U4 spliceosomal RNA
About the family: U4 small nuclear RNA (U4 snRNA) is a component of the major U2-dependent spliceosome.
Source: Ensembl
AGCUUUGCGCAGUGGCAGUAUCGUAGCCAAUGAGGUUUAUCCGAGGCGCGAUUAUUGCUAAUUGAAAAAUGUCACAUAUUAGUAAAAACCUUUACCUUCCCUGCAGAAUCUGCGGCAGCACGGCGUUGCAAGAGGAGUUUUGCCACAUCCAGGCUUCCAUACUUGGCUGCUACAUGCAGGGGAGUGAAACCUUUCUGGAAUGUGAAGAACAAA